GUCUGGGAAGUCUCUAAUGGAAAGGCCAAUCCCAAACGCGGGUAAUCUAAUGAUGUCAUUAGUCGUUAAGCAGAUCCUUUUCUGGAAAGAUUCAAUUUGAGGCAAAUCAGUGCGCCCCCUGGUGCUGCAUCCUGCACUUUCCAGACUGGGUUAAGACCCAGAACAAUGAAUAGCAAAGGAACCUAGCGUGAGUCAAGUGCUGACCUGGAUCCCUGCGAAGAUAUGUGGCCAACUUUGGCAAUGGUCAUAUGAAAAAAGGGGAAUUGGAAAGCCAAAGGUUAUUUCCUCUCGUUUUAAAGCUGCCUCAGAUCCCUAAAGCCUUGGGUAUUUGUUUGGAAGCCUCAUAGUGAGAAUACAGAAAAGGGUUAGGGAGAAACUGAACCUGGCCCCAUCAUGUACCAGCGCAGUAACCCUGGCCAGUCUCUCCAGGCUUGUUUUCAUAGCUCUGCUAAGACCACAGAUUUAAAGUCAAGAGGUGAUCUAGUCCAAACCUCUCAUUUUCCAGAAAAAGAAGGCUUGAAGAGCACAGGGUGUGACACACAUAGUUCAGAAAAGAAUCUGACUUCAUUUUUGAAACAAGGAUGUUUGGGACAUCAAGAUGGCAUAAUGGACAGAACAACAGCCCUGGAGUUAGAGAAAACCUGAGUUCAAGAUACUUGACACUUACUAGCUCCUAGGUAAGUCACUUAAUAAUGCCAAAUGCCUCAGCCCAAUUCCCCCCCCCCCAAAAAAAAAAAAAAAAACAA
Antechinus flavipes (yellow-footed antechinus) is the source of this 746-nucleotide long non-coding RNA. RefSeq lists it as uncharacterized. The record is from RefSeq and is a predicted model, not a curated record. The transcript is spliced from 2 exons. NCBI's taxonomy places the organism in Eukaryota, Metazoa, Chordata, Mammalia, Dasyuromorphia, Dasyuridae.